UUCCCCCCCGCCCCGUCGCUCCGACCGAUUGAAUGGCUCAGUGAGGCUUCCGGACUGGCUCGGGGAGGUCGGCAACGACCACCCUGGGCCGGAAAGCUAUCCAAACUCGGUCAUUUAGAGGAAGUAAAAGUCGUAACAAGGUCUCCGUUGGUGAACCAGCGGAGGGAUCAUUACCGUGCCGGCGCUCAGCGCUAGUUCAACCCUUCUGUGGAAAUAUCAAAACGUUUGCCUCGGCGGGCCUGGCCCGCCGCCGGCACCAACACAACUUUUCCACACUGCAUUCUGAGUGGGCGUAGACCUAAUAAGUCAAAACUUUCAGCAACGGAUCUCUUGGCUCUGGCAUCGAUGAAGAACGCAGCGAAAUGCGAUAAUUAGUGGGAAUUGCAGAACUCAGUGAAUCAUCGAAUCUUUGAACGCACAUUGCGCCCGCCGGCAUCCCGGCGGGCAUGCCUGUCCGAGCGUCAUAUCAACCCCUCGGGCCACCUAUCCACCAUGCGUGGGCGGGGUCGGCCCGGCGUUGGGGCACCGCUGGCUGGUUUCCUCCAGCCCGCCGGGCCCCUAAAUCCAGCGGCGGACGCCUCCUGGCCACCCAGCGCAGUAUAAUCGCUAUCGCUGAGGUGCAUGGGGGGCUGCCCUGCCUACCGCCUAGCGGCACACACAACGUUUGACCUCGGAUCAGGUAGGACUACCCGCUGAACUUAAGCAUAUCAAUAAGCGGAGGAAAAGAAACCAACAGGGAUUGCCCCAGUAACGGCGAGUGAAGCGGCAACAGCUCAAAUUUGAAAUCCGGCCUUGCGGCCCGAGUUGUAAUUUGCAGAGGAUGCUUCUGGCGACGUGCCUUCCGAGUCCCCUGGAACGGGGCGCCGGAGAGGGUGAGAGCCCCGUACGGUGGGACACCUAGCCUAUGUGAAGCUCCUUCGACGAGUCGAGUAGUUUGGGAAUGCUGCUCUAAGCGGGAGGUAAAUUCCUUCUAAAGCUAAAUACCGGCCAGAGACCGAUAGCGCACAAGUAGAGUGAUCGAAAGAUGAAAAGCACUUUGGAAAGAGGGUUAAACAGUACGUGAAAUUGCUGAAAGGGAAGCGCUUGCGACCAGACUCGGGCCUGGCGGAUCAUCCGGCGUUCUCGCCGGUGCACUUCGUCAGGCCUGGGCCAGCAUCGGUUCUGCUGGGGGGACAAAAGUCGGGGAAACGUAGCUCCUUCCGGGGAGUGUUAUAGUCCCCGGCCUAAUACCUCCGGCGGGACCGAGGACCGCGCUAACGCAAGGAUGCUG
Molecule: ribosomal RNA, 1270 nt
Filed under: Lulworthia atlantica
Lineage: Eukaryota; Fungi; Ascomycota; Sordariomycetes; Lulworthiales; Lulworthiaceae
Description: eukaryotic LSU rRNA
Rfam family: Eukaryotic large subunit ribosomal RNA (bases 666-1270)
Source: RNAcentral